UGCGGUGGGGCCUGUGCUGGUACGGGCAGGCGGCUCUGAACCGUCGUGACGUGGCUUCGAUUCCUACCACCGCAA
RNAcentral lists this transfer RNA (75 nucleotides) under Planctomycetaceae bacterium. Its description in RNAcentral is "tRNA-Gln". Lineage: Bacteria; Pseudomonadati; Planctomycetota; Planctomycetia; Planctomycetales; Planctomycetaceae. The record is from RNAcentral.